Astyanax mexicanus (Mexican tetra) is the source of this 68-nucleotide small nucleolar RNA. The record is from Ensembl. NCBI's taxonomy places the organism in Eukaryota, Metazoa, Chordata, Actinopteri, Characiformes, Acestrorhamphidae.
CUGCUAUGAUGCUUUUGAAUUUCUUCACCUGAAAUAUAUGAAGAUACAACAUUUUAACCCUGAGCAAC